CACGGAACCAAUCAAUAAAUAAGCAGAAGCAGGACAGAUGAGGGGGCCCCUCUCUCAUGAUUUUAAAGACUAAAAAGAAGCAGCACACAGCAGGGAUUGUGACAGAAGGAACUGCCUUGGGCGGGGAGGCUGAGGUGGGGUUUCCACAGCAUCCCCUCCAUCUCAGCUAGAAUCCUCCAGUUGCACUCCAUUCUCGAAUUCUGUGGCCUGCACUGCUGAGCUGUUUAUUAAAACGGCGUACAAUGAAAACAUUCCAUUCCUCCAGUCUAUGAACCCCUGUAAUUUCCUCCCUCCUCCUGGACAGAGGCCACUAGGACAGGAAAGCCUCAGGGGAAAAAAAUUAAAAAGAAAAGCGGUGAAAGCAAAGAAGACAAUAGACAAACCCUGGCUCUGACAAUGCUGUCCCUCAGCCCCCUUUCCCUGCCUGCUGUGACACUGGCCUUCAAGAGCAAGGGUGGCUGCCAUCUGAUGCAUGGACAAUGAGCUGAGAAAUACAAGGCAGAGAAGGGAAAGAAAACCAGAUGAAUUCCGAGCUAAGAUGCAGGGCUCUCACCUUGUCCAGCUGCUACGGGGAGCUAAAAGUUACUGUGUGGCUAAUGUUCUUUGUCUCGGUGUCUUCUAUGAAAGAGGCCAAGGAAAUUUAACAGAGAAGAAAAGCAAAAAGCAAAAAAAAAAAAAAAAAAAAAAAGAAGAAGAAGAAGAAGAAGAAGAGUGUUCAGUUGCAGAAAAGCAUCCUGGGAGGUUCAUUCUUCUCCACAGAGGGUAGCACUUCAAGAUUUACAGGCAGCCUAGAUUUUUGGCUAACAUUGGGUGUGUUGGCUUCAGGGGGAGGGUGUGCGUGUUGCGGUGCUUGGUUUGCUCAUGGAGAAUAACAGCUUAUGUUGGACAUGUCUGUAUUAGCUUUUACUGGAUGGAUUCUGAGCUUACUCACUGUUUGAAAUAAAAUAAAUAAUUUUUCAUUUCAUUUUA
This is a long non-coding RNA of Rattus norvegicus (Norway rat), 969 nucleotides long. RefSeq lists it as uncharacterized. NCBI's taxonomy places the organism in Eukaryota, Metazoa, Chordata, Mammalia, Rodentia, Muridae. The record is from RefSeq and is a predicted model, not a curated record.